CAGAUCACGUAAAUCUUUAAUAGUCGAACAGACUAUUUAUAUAAGAUUCUACCCCUAAAUUACAAUUUAAUUCAACAUCGAGGUCACAAACUUAGUUAUUAAUAAGAACUUGCUAAUUAAAUAAUGCUGUUAUCCCUAGAGUAACUUAUAAAUAUUAAUUUAAUUAAUUAAAAAUUUUACUCUUCAAUAAUUACCCCAAUCAAAAAUUUAAAAAAUUUAAAGCUUCUAGGGUCUUCUCGUCCCAAGAUUUUAUAAUAGCAUUUUUACUAUUAAUUUAAAUUCAAAUUUAAUUAAUAAAACCUCCCUUUCAGUAUCAACCUUUCAUUCCAGUCCUCAAUUAAAAAA
RNAcentral lists this ribosomal RNA (345 nucleotides) under Metasarcidae sp. 5 MA-2018. RNAcentral describes it as "partial large subunit ribosomal RNA". Lineage: Eukaryota; Metazoa; Arthropoda; Arachnida; Opiliones; Metasarcidae. The record is from RNAcentral.